CGGACGGGUGAGUAACACGUGGAUAACCUACCUAUAAGACUGGGAUAACUUCGGGAAACCGGAGCUAAUACCGGAUAAUAUAUUGAACCGCAUGGUUCAAUAGUGAAAGACGGUUUUGCUGUCACUUACAGAUGGAUCCGCGCCGCAUUAGCUAGUUGGUAAGGUAACGGCUUACCAAGGCAACGAUGCGUAGCCGACCUGAGAGGGUGAUCGGCCACACUGGAACUGAGACACGGUCCAG
Molecule: ribosomal RNA, 241 nt
Filed under: uncultured Staphylococcus sp.
Lineage: Bacteria; Bacillati; Bacillota; Bacilli; Caryophanales; Staphylococcaceae
Description: partial 16S ribosomal RNA
Rfam family: Bacterial small subunit ribosomal RNA
Source: RNAcentral